AGCACGACUGGCUGCAGCUGCUCUGUGUCCAAGGCUGGUGACUGAAGUUUGGUUGCUUUAGUGUAGGAUGAGGGUGCCCAAGUGAAGUAUUGAGCUUCAGAGGAGAUGACCAGUUGCCAAAUAUGCAUAUACAGAAGUGGCUCCCACCUACUGCAACAGCCUGGAUGUUCAUCCACAUGCGGAUCUAAAGAAUGGAGCUUCUUCUAGGAGUGUAAAGGGGCAUCAGAUUUUGUUAAACUUUCUGGGCUGAAAUAAAUUGCAAUAAUGUGUACAGCAGCCUUGGGAAGAAACAAGAAGUGACAGAGACGUGUGGCUCUACAGGAGGCUCAAGGCACUUUUCACAAACUUCAGAACCAUUCAGCAUCACAAACCAUUUUCUCUGGGAAAUCCUUCCUGCUCUGCAUCUGCAGCCCCCACGAGCCUUGAUCUGGGAAUUGCUGCUAUCAGCUGCCUGCAGUGUUCUACUCCCGCCUUAUCUUCUCCUGACACAGAAAGGACACUGUCAAUUGCUAAUCAACCUUGAGCCCACACAUCUCCCUGAAGCAUCAGCAGUAUCUCCA
Long non-coding RNA from Pezoporus occidentalis (night parrot), 560 nucleotides. RefSeq lists it as uncharacterized. The transcript is spliced from 3 exons. The record is from RefSeq and is a predicted model, not a curated record. NCBI's taxonomy places the organism in Eukaryota, Metazoa, Chordata, Aves, Psittaciformes, Psittacidae.